AUGGCCCGCUUGUAUGUUGGCAACUUGGAUGCCCGGGUGACUGCUGGGGAACUUGAAGACGAGUUUCGUGUGUUUGGAGUUUUGCGAAGUGUCUGGGUUGCACGUAAGCCACCUGGUUUUGCGUUUAUCGAUUUUGAUGACAAGCGGGAUGCUGAGGAUGCACUUCGUGAUCUAGAUGGCAAGAAUGGAUGGAGGGUUGAGCUGUCUCGCAAUGACCGUGGUGACCGUGGAGGUCGUGGUGGUGGUGCUGGUGGUGGCGGCGGCGGUCGUGAUCGUGGUGGGUCUGAUAUGAAAUGCUAUGAAUGUGGUGAAUCUGGGCAUUUUGCUCGUGAAUGUCGUCUGCGUAUUGGUUCUGGUGGUCUGGGCAGUGGAAGGCGUCGCAGCAGGAGCCGCAGCCGCAGCCGCAGCCCUAGGUACCGCAGGAGUCCGAGCUAUGGCAGAAGAAGUUACAGCCCUCGUGAUCGCUCUCCAAGACGCCGCAGUGCUUCUCCAGCCCCAGCCCGUGGUCGCAGCUAUAGCAAGUCACCGGUCCGUGCCAGGGAUGAUUCUCCUGAUGCUAAAGGGUUUCGCCGCAGCCGGAGUUAG
This 585-nucleotide ribosomal RNA is filed under the name Triticum aestivum (bread wheat). RNAcentral describes it as "partial small subunit ribosomal RNA". The record is from RNAcentral. Lineage: Eukaryota; Viridiplantae; Streptophyta; Magnoliopsida; Poales; Poaceae.